RNAcentral lists this long non-coding RNA (2960 nucleotides) under Canis lupus familiaris (dog). RNAcentral's name for it is "lncRNA (ENSCAFG00000054805.1)". Lineage: Eukaryota; Metazoa; Chordata; Mammalia; Carnivora; Canidae. The record is from RNAcentral.
UAAUAACUCCAGAGGAAGACAUGAGAGAUUUAAGUAGGAAGGGGAAAUUCAACAAGAUGCCAUAGGGCUCUCUAAUCUUGAGGAAAGGAAAAAAAAAAAAAAUAAGGCUAUUUUCUGAGCCACGUUAUAAUCUGGGUGUGUACUAUUCUCACAUGCCAGGAUCAUUCCUCCUCUGCAUUUUCCAAAAGCUCAGUAGGAGAUAAGAACACUUUGCUAAAAGUCCUUCUUAUGAACUACUCCUCAGGCAGAUUUGCCCUCAGCUUUUCUUCCAGUUCUACUCAUAAUAAAUAAGAAUUAAAGGGCAAUGAGUUACUCAUUAAUAUAUUUUCUUAAAUUUUAGGCUCUAAGCAACAAUUAUUCUUAUUAAAUAAGGGAAACAAGUUAUACUAUUAGAACACAAAUGGUUUAUAUUUUAGAUUAGCUCCCCCAUAGAAAAUGUAAGACAAAUAAUUAAGGUGUGCAAAACACAUAUACCAAAUAUGAUGUCAAACUGAGAAAAACUGGUCUUCACAGGACAGUUCUAUUCAGAACUAUAGUAACAGUGUCCAGAACCUACAAUUCUCCAAUACUAUAUAAAAAUGUUUAAAUCGCUCAAGGAAAGCUUCUAUUUUGUAUAAAACAUUAUUAGCUAUAUACCCUAACUAUCUGGUAUUCUUAGUAAAGAAGUAUGUCAUGUAAACUAACCAUUCUUGUUUCAAUUAUAAUAACAUCACUUAUGCUGGGCUAUAGCCUUUAUAAUCAUCUUAACAUCAAUACCUAGAUUAACUUUAGUGAAUACUUCAGCCUUUACGAACUUCUGAGAUGACACAGGGAUACGAACAAACUACUCAAAGUUCCAGGGUUUUCUGCUCCUCAGAUAAUGUCUCUGGAGUGCAAAGGUAUUUACAUAUAUUUUCCAUCGAUAUCAUCAUAUAAUGGAGUAUUUGCUAUAUCUAAAGAACAUUUUUCAUCCAGCUACUAUUUUCUAAAUCCCAGCUAUGUGUCCAAGGCAAUGAGGAGAAAUGAGAACUGUGUCCAUCCUUACAAAGUUUAGUCUACUGGAUGACACUGUGUGCCUGAUGCCUGUGUGUCUGUAAUUUACAAUGUUACUGAUGAAAAUGCAGAAGUCCAAAUAACAGAUAAUGGUGAAAUAUAGUAAAAGACUGGGAGAGGCUUUAGCAAUACUGCAUCACUUAUCAUUCAUCUUCAGGUCUGCUUUUAUUUGAGAAUUACAAUUGUUUACCAACUAUCUCCCAAGAUUCUGAGCUUCCCCCUGGGCUCUCCCUUAACCCAGUCCAUCCCAUAUUUACAGGUCUACAUGAUUACAAUAGAGGAGCCUUGAACUCGUGUUUACCUCAAGGUAUAUGCCCUGGGAAUAAAGGCCACACAAAAAAACCCAAUAUGCCUCAUUAAGUGCAUAUCUUACUGGUUUAAAAAAUGAUAAUAGGGAUUAUGAUAAAAUUUUAAAAGGGGAAUUACAGGUACAUGGUUAAAAAUGUAAUGGAAGAUAACAAAACUGGGACAUAAUCACUAUCAACCAGAUAAGAAACCCCAUGACAAGGGGUUCUUUGGCCUUCCACUGGUGUGCCUGCUAACUUUGUGGCCCUUGUUGUCUUACCCUGUACUUCUACCAGUUAAUGCCAAGCUUAGUGGUCACAUCUUAGCGAUGUGACUUAAUCACAUGGAUACCUUCGAUGUUUCUACUUUCAUCACAGGCUGGGGUGUGUGUGUGUGUUUACCUUCCCUUAUAGGUGUUGCUAUUCUAGAUCUAAACCUUUAAGAAAUAUGAAAAGUAUUUUAUUAAUUGCCUCUGUGCAUCUUCUUCGUUCUUAGAGAAGGAAAGUGUGGACUAACUUCAGUGAGCACAUUCCACACAGAAAACCUACAAGGUGCUUAGCACUGUGCUAGGUGCUGUAUCAAUCAGAAAGAAACCAAAUGGCAGCCUGCAGUAUCUUGGUUUAUUAUAGAAGCCAAGACAUACAAAAGGGAAAUAACAGUGUGUAUAAUGAAGAACUAAAUUGAAUAUAAUCAAGUACCAAACUACAAAAGGUAGUGAGUGCCAUAAUCUUCAGAAAGGGGAGCAACUAUUCCUAGAACUACCAUGAAUUUGGGUUAUGGGUGUGGGAGCUCAGCAAGGUGAGAGGACAUUAGAUUUAGAGGUCAAAGCACCAGGCUUAAGUAAAUGCAGAGAUGAGAAAGGAGUCUGAUUCAUGGAAGAGGAGUAGCCACCGUUUAGGAGAAUAUGGUUAAGUUUACUUUGUGAAGGACCCUACGGACCAAGAAGUCUGACUUUGAUCUGAUGAGAAAUGCACUCACUUAGUACCCUUUGGUAGGGAAAGGUGUGGAGUGGUUUUGGCAAGUUAGAACAGGACAAAGAUCAAGGAGUGAGAUCAGCAAAGUCAGAGACCAAUUCACUACUUUGUAAUCAAGAAAAAACAACAAAAAGGAGUCAGAACAAUACUUGGUAUGUCACAAGCAUUCAAUAAAAGUGCUCGCUAUUAUAAAAUAAUUUCAGGGACCAGCAUGGUAAGGCUGGGAAAACAAACAGUAAGAUCUAUUUCAAAAGUACCUGUUUCACAACAUGAGAAAGAUGGACACUCAUAUUUUUUUGGGUCUUACUUUUCUAUCAAGGGCUGAAAAAAGAGAAUGAGCAGUCUUAUAAGGUUAACUUCUAGAUCUUCCACAGAAAAGCAUUUAAAUGCUUUGUGGAAAAUGUGGUUUAUUGGGUAACAUUCCUAACAAGUAAAUUGCUCAUGAGCAAAGUACUCAAAGGUUUGUUGUGGGGGGCCAGUGAUCAUUAACACAUUCUACCAUCAGGUCUCAUACUCGCAGGUAUUCAGAAAAUGUCUUUCCCUCCCUUUUCCUUAUAUUCUCUAACCUGAUCCAACUGUUGAUGGCUUUUAGCAUGUAAAAGAAUGUAAAGCAAGAGUUGGGAGAGUGAAAUAGGAAUGUGAAAAAAAAAAUUUUUUUUAAAUAAGAAC